Molecule: long non-coding RNA, 722 nt
Organism: Canis lupus familiaris (dog)
Lineage: Eukaryota; Metazoa; Chordata; Mammalia; Carnivora; Canidae
Exons: 3
Source: RefSeq, a predicted model, not a curated record
UGUGUCAUGGGUUGUCACAUGAAAGCCCUCCUUCCGGCCGAUUUACAGAGGAAUCCGCCCGCAUUUCCUUCCACCGUUUUAUUUGUUUAUUUUUUUUAAGGUUUUUAUUUAUUUAUCCAUGAGAGGCACAGAGAGAGAGAGAGGCAGAGACACAGGCAGAGGGAGCAGCAGGCUCCCGGCGGGGAGCGGGAUGCGGGACUUGAUCCUGGGACCCCGGGGUCACGGCCUGGGCCGCAGGUGGCUGCUCAUCCGCUGGGCCCCCCGGGCGCCCCUCCCUCCAGCGCCUUUGUGGUUCUGCGCUCAUAUGCGUCGGCAGAGGACAGACAGAGAGGGGACACAAAGCCGAGCGUCUAUAUGGGGUCUCAGAAUUGCAGCUCAGGAACAAGCUGAGUCUCCUAAGAGCUUAGGGAGUUUUGAAGACAACGGGGCAUGUUUGCAAAUGCUGCUGAGGAAGAAUCUGGUAGGUGCUGGCACCGAGAAGCCGGGCGGGCCCAACAGGAUUGAUGGGCACAGGGGCUAGACCUGUAAGCAGCAACGGAGAUCCAUACACGUUUCCUGCGUUGAGCGACGCCGAGGAAGAUGAGGCUCCUUCCUUGACGAUGGGUCAGCAGCGCUGGGGAGAGGCGGUAAAGCACAGCACCCCGCAGGAAGGCUCCCCCCGCCUGCGCAGGCGGCCGCCGGGCGAGGUCCCCUCCCGCCAGGGCGAGGGCCCCGAGCCCUGG